RNAcentral lists this ribosomal RNA (220 nucleotides) under Staphylococcus aureus. RNAcentral describes it as "partial 23S ribosomal RNA". It matches the Rfam family "Bacterial large subunit ribosomal RNA", at positions 2703 to 2925 of the family's 2925-position model. Lineage: Bacteria; Bacillati; Bacillota; Bacilli; Caryophanales; Staphylococcaceae. The record is from RNAcentral.
AUACCUCUGGUGUACCAGUUGUCGUGCCAACGGCAUAGCUGGGUAGCUAUGUGUGGACGGGAUAAGUGCUGAAAGCAUCUAAGCAUGAAGCCCCCCUCAAGAUGAGAUUUCCCAACUUCGGUUAUAAGAUCCCUCAAAGAUGAUGAGGUUAAUAGGUUCGAGGUGGAAGCAUGGUGACAUGUGGAGCUGACGAAUACUAAUCGAUCGAAGACUUAAUCAA